UGGGGAAUAUUGGACAAUGGGCGCAAGCCUGAUCCAGCAAUGCCGCGUGUGUGAAGAAGGCCUUCGGGUUGUAAAGCACUUUUAUCAGGAGCGAAACACUGUCGGCUAAUACCCGGCGGAACUGACGGUACCUGAGGAAUAAGCACCGGCUAACUUCGUGCCAGCAGCCGCGGUAAUACGAAGGGUGCAAGCGUUAAUCGGAAUUACUGGGCGUAAAGCGUGCGUAGGCGGUUUCUUAAGUCUGCUGUGAAAUCCCCGGGCUCAACCUGGGAAUGGCAGUGGAUACUGGGAGGCUAGAGUGUGUCAGAGGGUGGUGGAAUUCCCGGUGUAGCGGUGAAAUGCGUAGAGAUCGGGAGGAACAUCAGUGGCGAAGGCGGCCACCUGGGACAACACUGACGCUGAGGCACGAAAGCGUGGGGAGCAAACAGGAUUAGAUACCCUGGUAGUCCACGCCCUAAAGCGAUGCGAACUGGAUGUUGGUCUCAACUCGGAGAUCAGUGUCGAAGCUAACGCGUUAAGUUCGCCGCCU
This 529-nucleotide ribosomal RNA is filed under the name uncultured bacterium. RNAcentral describes it as "partial 16S ribosomal RNA". It matches the Rfam family "Bacterial small subunit ribosomal RNA", at positions 355 to 874 of the family's 1533-position model. The record is from RNAcentral.